CAGGAAGUCAAGGAGCUGCAGUUGACUUGGUACAAAACAGCCCUUGAGCUGAACGCUUUAAUCUGAGGCCAGUGUGGAAAGGCUGAUCCUUGCUUUGUGGAAGAUGGUUGGAAAGGUUUGGAAGCUGGAUUAAGUAGAAGCUUCCGGCCAUCUGUGUGAUCUCAGUUUAGGAACCCUUACAGCUAUCUCAACAAAGACCUCUCUACAGUUCUAAACAUCUAGCCUUGUUUUGGACAGAUGCUGAAUUUUCCAGAAGACGAGUAUGAUCUAUGCAGUCAAGUCGAACAGAAAUUAAUCAAGAGAGGGGAAUGGCAGGAUGAGAGGGUGAGACUCCCCAUUGGACUUGAGGUUGAAAGUACCAUCUUACAUCACAGAAGCUGUGUAGCCCUGCCUGGGAGCCAAACAAGUGUUUGUUGCUAGAAGUUAGACUUCAUGUUCACUCGGGAGCUGAGACCACCUCAAAGACCAUUCUUCUGCGUGGUGAGAAGCUGUUGCCAAGGGUGGAAGAACACUGCAUGAACUCUCCAGUCCUUAUGGAGGUGCUGCUUCCAAACCUUCUAGCAAUCUGCCUUUGAGGUCAGCAGCCUGCCGAGGACAUCUGCCAGGAAGCCCCUGGAACCUCAUCAUCCUUCCAAGACUCUGUUUUUCACACAGAUCCGUGGAUUUCCCUGAUGUGGUGAAAGCCAGGGAUUGAGGGCAAGGAGAAUGAGGCUGAGGUUCUGAAGCUGGCCGAGCAUCUGAAUGCGAUUGGGUGGGUCUGGAAUCCUUUCUCUGAAUUCUUUUCCACGGUUUCCAAACUCCUUUGGACUGACACCUCAUUGAACUUGUCCCUGCUCCCCACCCAGAUCCCUACGACACCUGAACACGUGUUUUGCAGCCCAUUAAUUCAGUCACCUCAUGUCCAUAUUCUGUGGGUUCUUACACACUCCAAAGCCCGGGAGUACGCAUGUAUGCUGGCCUAUGUUGUAAAUAAGUGUCCUGGUCAUCCCACAUCUACCAACCAACCUCAGCGUAAGUCCCUGAACUCAUGAUCAGGAGUUUUUCUUUCAUGAACUUUUCCCUUCCCUCAUGAGGCUUUAGAUUUCUGUGUCACUUCAACCAGACCAUGCUCUCCCCAAGGACAGAAGCUCUAUGACCCAGGCCAUUGCCAUACUCUUCUCGAGGCAUGCUCAGAACCUGCUACCCUUGAAUGGUGUAAUGGAUAAUGAGCUAUCACCACUGCUCGUUUAAAACCCCUUCUCAUUUUUACAAGCAUCCAUUACGCACACCAAAGACAUUUGGGUGUUGGACUGUCACGGCAACAUACAUGUGAGUUAACUGCAUCUUAAUUUAGACGCAUCCAAAACCAGCCAGGUGCUACGGACAUAAUAAA
Molecule: long non-coding RNA, 1372 nt
Organism: Mesocricetus auratus (golden hamster)
Lineage: Eukaryota; Metazoa; Chordata; Mammalia; Rodentia; Cricetidae
Exons: 4
Source: RefSeq, a predicted model, not a curated record